Molecule: long non-coding RNA, 747 nt
Organism: Suricata suricatta (meerkat)
Lineage: Eukaryota; Metazoa; Chordata; Mammalia; Carnivora; Herpestidae
Exons: 3
Source: RefSeq, a predicted model, not a curated record
UUAGCUUUCAAGUAGCGCUCUCUGGCCUAUUCUCCCGCUGCCUCCCCCUGGACCGCUCAGGAGGGGAUGUCCUGCAUCUCUGGCCCUCAGCACCGUUUUCUCACCACGGAGUGCUGGCGUCAUCCAGUAACUCUCUCUCCACUACUGGGAACUCCGGUGAGCAUGCCUGAGGCAUCUCUGCCUACCCAGAGCCUCAAACCCGUCCAGUCCAUGAAUGUUGAAAAGAAUUGACUGGAUCCUGCAUUCCUGCGGCCUAACGACCACUCAGGCUGGAGAGCCAUGAAGCCAUCCACCACAGCACCUCCAUCCCCCACGGCCAACUGAGAGAGCUCUUUGAAGCCAGGACCUCACACUCGAUGAGUUUGGAUUGGCACGGUUGGCCCCCUCACGCCCGACUCUGCCCUGUCAGCCUCAGCACAGCUUGCCUAGUGGCUGUGCUCUUCCCCGGCCCAAACGGCAGCACCUUAGGGCCAGGACACCUGGGAAGAAGACUUGCCUGUGCCUGCGAGAAUUCUCUGCGCAGCAAGGAAUGACUCAGCGAGCAUUCAGGGUGGCAGUGAAUGGAAUGUAUUUUUAUGAAAUGUCCUUGACCACAAAUGGUAUUCUCUGCCCACGUAGGACCAAAAGCUCCAGGAGAUAAAUACCUGGUUCUGCCUAUUCACUUUACCCUAAAUGCUUAAUCCUUCAUUGCUAACGUGUCUGCAACACUUGGAACUCUCUUGGAAAAAUGAAGAUUUAUUCACUGAA